AUGUGUAAAUCGCCCAUUACCACCUUUUACAAGAACGAGAACCAGCAAUCACCGCACUAUAAAGCCCUUGCAUGCAGAAUCAUUCAUCACUCAGGUCAGGAACUUUGGUUAAGGUCUGUAAACAGAGCUGAAGAGAUGCAAUCGUGUGAUUUCUGCGGAUACUGCCCUGGCGAGAAUACCCACGGUGUCUCAUUCAAAUUCCCUUUAAAAGAGGAACAUCGUCGUCACUGGAUAGUGAAUAUGGGGAAGGACGCGGAAUGGACUCCAUCUGGAUCCUCGUCUCUGUGCUCCGCUCAUUUCACUCCAGAUUGCUUUGAAUCCGGAUCAGCGCGUUUACACUCAGACGCGAUUCCGACUCUAUUUAAUUUCACACAGUCUAAGAAUCAGAUGCUAAAGGACACUGAAACUCUCCCACCACAGCAAGGAUCUACUGAAUCCUCUGAGUCUUCCAGAUCAUCCUGCUCUGACUGCCAUAAGCAUCUGCAGGCCACGGAAAGAAAUUACCAGCUGAAAUUAGCUGCUGCUCAGCUUCAGAUAAAAGAGUACAAGAAGAAUCUAGCAGAGGAGUCACGGAAAGCAGCACAAUGGCAGAAGCGAGCAAUAGUUUUGCAGAGCGCUAUCAGAGCAAUGAAACAAAGGGGGUCAAUACCUGCUUCAAGAAAAACAUCUACACCUAAAAACAAUCAUUUGGACUGA
RNAcentral lists this long non-coding RNA (696 nucleotides) under Carassius auratus (goldfish). Its description in RNAcentral is "lncRNA (ENSCARG00000067620.1)". The record is from RNAcentral. Lineage: Eukaryota; Metazoa; Chordata; Actinopteri; Cypriniformes; Cyprinidae.